GGGUGUUUAGCUCAGUUGGCUAGAGCAUCUGCUUUACACGCAGAGGGUCAGGGGUUCAAGUCCCUUAACACCCACCA
Molecule: transfer RNA, 77 nt
Filed under: Alphaproteobacteria bacterium
Lineage: Bacteria; Pseudomonadati; Pseudomonadota; Alphaproteobacteria
Also listed under: 1 other name
Description: tRNA-Val
Rfam family: tRNA
About the family: Transfer RNA (tRNA) molecules are approximately 80 nucleotides in length. Their secondary structure includes four short double-helical elements and three loops (D, anti-codon, and T loops).
Source: RNAcentral